GAGGCCAGAGCUUCAAGAGGAAGGCGCAGCAGGGCUGGCUCCUUCCGCCGGCUCUGAGGGAGGCUCGGUUCCUGCCUCUUCCAGCUUCUGGGGGUGGUUGGCUGUGCCCCUUUGCCUGGAGACACAAAGAUCACUCCAGGCUCUGCCUCUGUGUGCCUGUGUCCAAACUUCCACCUUCUUAUAAGGACGCCAGGCAUUGGAUCAGGGCCCACCCCAAUCCAUUGGGACCUCAUCUUACGUUGAUGACAUCUGCAGAGACUCUAUUUCCAAAUAGGUCACACUCACACUCCCGGGGGUAGGGCUUUGACAUAGCUUUGGGGGGGGACACCAUUUGCCCCACAAUGCUGUCUUCUGAGAUCCUUACCUGUGAAGGUGAUGGGCUGACAGCAUUUACUAGAAGUAAAUAGGAGAGCUCCGGAGGGUCACCUGACCUUCUUAAAUAAAGAGGAAAUCCUAAGAAGGGCGGAGCUGACCCCACCCACCACCCCCUCUAAGCAGCGGGCCUCUCCAGGACCCUACACAAGAGCCCAGAGCCCCAUCAAUCAUCACAUCACUGCACUUGCUCAUGGGGACCACCCACAGCACCAAAACCCAGGACAGGUCAUACCACCAAAACACAGGACAGGCCACACCACCAAAACACACGACAGGCCACACUACCAAAACCCAGGACAGGCCAUAGCACCAAAACUCAGGACAGGCCACACCACCAAAACACAGGACAGGCCACCCCACCAAAACCCUGGACAGGUCACACCACCAAAACCCUGGACAGGUCACACAACCAAAACACAGGAGAGGCCACACCACCAUAACACGGCGCAGGCCACACCACCAAAACACAGGGUGGCUGUGUGGUCUGGGCCCUCGUUCAUUAGAUAUAAGACAGAUGAGGCAAAGCAAACCGGCCUAGGGUCAGAGGGCUUGUGAGGGCCUCAGAACCCCAGAAGAACACCUUAGUCUGAUUGGUUGGGAGCUUUAUAAGGUGUUUUCCCUCAGAGCUGUCUUAUGGGAAACUGGGUGCUUUCGAGUUCUCCUCUUCAUGACGAGACUUCUCCUCCACGACCUGGGGGAGACGGGGCCAGCCCUUCCCAGUGGCAAGCCCGUGACAGGCGGCACCCGCACUGUUGACCAGGAUGCCAGCCUGGCAGGAGGACGAGCAUCUCCCCAGGAGGCAGGGGAGGCCCCCCAAAAUAGCGGGCCGCCCCGGUCCCCACCCCCGAUCCCUGCACAGGCGCUGAGCUGGGGAAGAGGCCCCAGCCGGACUCAGGGUCUGUCAACCACAGUGCUGCCCAUGGGGUCCCUCCUGGGGCCUCCCAGGGGCCCUGAUGGGAUCUGCCUCUCACCAGCCCCUCCUCCGCAUGCCUGUUCCUGCCUUAAGAUCUGAGCCCUUGACCGACCGUCCCACUCUCAGGGACUCUCUCCCCCAUACUCCAGACCUGCUGGUGGCUGGUUUCAUUUCAUCCUUCAGGACUGAGCUCAGAUGUCCCCCCUCCCUCAGCAUAGUCUGCUUCCUUCCCUCGAAGCGUGUCCUUCAUAGAAAAUUCGCAGUGCUUCCCUGUUUAUUUCCUCCCUGUUUAUUGUCUGUCUGCCGCCACUAGAUAGUUCCCUACUGGGAGCAGGGCUCACUGGCUCGCUCUCUCUCUGGCUCGCCACUGCCUCUCCAGGCCUAGGAUGGUGCCCAGACACACCAGGGGCUGGAGGCAUGAGCAAGCGAGUCCAGAGAGGAGCUGGCAGUUUGUCUUGUCCACGUCAGCUCUUGGCAGUUCUGUCAUGAUAGUUCUUACGUAAAAUACAGGUCCCAGCGCACACUGCCCAGGCCUGGUCUCCCAGGACAACUCGUGCUGCUGCCGUUGGCCACCAGAAGGCCCCCCGGCUCAGCCACCCCCUACCAAGGUGUCUCCUUGAGUGGGAUGUGCAGUGGCCAUUUGCCGUUUCGGGCUCCGGGCAUCAUUUGCCUAGUACUGAUAACUGGCCCCCACUCCACUUGGGGACUUCAUCCUCCCCACUCUCAUUCUUUCUUUUUCUGGUAGAACUGAUGCUCCCCAGACCCCAGGGGAGGCCUGGGACCCAAGCUGGCAACAGAGGCAUUUCAUUUCCCAGCCAGGGACAGGACCACCUCGAGGGCAGACACAGAACUCAGACAAGCCAGUGACAGGCAGGAGGCUCAGUUCCAGGACUCUUGUAAGAGCUAUUAGCUGUCUGCAGCCUGCGCUGCACAUGAGAGCCACCUGGGGGGCCUUUUCCUGUCCGGUGUCCAGCCACACACCUGACCAGUUACAUCGCCAGUGGCAGUGAGGCUGGGGACCUCUGCAUCAGAGCCUUGGUUCUGACGAUAAAUACAACUGGAGCCUUCUGAGCUUUAACAUCCAUCUCCCAAACCCCUACGAGAUAAGCGAGAUGCUUUCCAACUGAAGCCGUUCUCAAUUGAUGAGCGGGGCCCACCAAAGAACGUGCAGGUAGUUCCAGGGCCACCUAUCAAUUUGCAGGUCAGACUGACCCAGAUCCCAUACUUAGAGGACAAUAACACAGAGGUUUUCCCAAUAUGGAUGUCAGCCCCCACCAUGGGACGGGCUGAGAAAGGCCUUCCGCCACCGUCUUCGGGAAGCCCCGGUCCCCAACCGCUCCCUCACUGGGGGUCCUCCGGCUCCUACUCCAGAGCUCAUCCUUAGAGAGACGCCUCGGGUGCACGUCAUCUGCGUUUCUGCUCACACCGUCACAAAGCCCCAGAUGAGGAAAUGAACACUGCUGCGAACACUGAACGAUGGAUUCCAAGCACAUCUCACCAAGAACACGCUUCACAGUAGCCAUGCAACAAAUGACUGUGCAUAAUCUAGGAACUACUUUGCUGUUUCUUUGGUAUGUGUGUUUGUUACUGAAAGGCUUCCAGCCCUGGUCUGAUGUCUACUUUGAAGAAACCUGGAUUAAGCAGGGGCACUUAUGAAGAAGUGGCAAAAGACAGUGGAUCUAACACACACUGGCUGAUGAGCGUUUUCAUGGUAGAAGCUGGAGUUACCCCACCAACCUUGCUGAUGUGAGGUUUAUGAAAGCUUAUAGAAGCGAUGGCUCACUGGUGGCUUCAGUGCACGGAGUCCCAGCGUCAGAUACAAACGCUGGAUAAAUGGCUCACUGCCCUAAAGUGCCAUCUGAUGCCACCACCUGGAAUACAGCUGCUAAUUAGAAGCUUGGUGGAAACACAUGUUGGAGAAGAUAAAAGUAAAACACAAGGGCCAAGGGGGGGUGCUUGGAGUCCCGUUUCCUUAAACGCCGGUGUGAGGUCCUUCAGCAGUGCCUCGGACACCUGCCGUUGAGCAGGGUUCGUCUCUGAUGGGACUCCUCGACGUGAGUUGGCCUGAGGUGGGUGUUCCCGUCUGUGAAUGAAUUCCUGUGCAGAGCCAGUCAAACGCAGCCUGGAUGCCGUGUUUGCUCAAUGCCAACAGUGCUGUCAACAAGGCCUGGUGACGCCUGAAAGAUGCAAAUGGAAACCUCAUCUCUCACUUCUGGCUUUAGUCAGUGGCUGCCCACACUCGGAUUACCCCUUGGCAAGUGCUCUGGCGCAGAGGUGUUACUCUGUGGGAAACUUUGAUGACAGGCAUCAAACGGGCCAAAUGUUACCUCCAACAAGAAAGGGCGGGCAGGUAGAACGCAGUACUGUGGGCAGAGGGGGUCCCAGCUAUGUGUCAGGUCUUGGCUCACAUGUCAAUGACAACGGCCUUCUCAGCUGCCCCCUUGCCCUGUGGGACUCAGGUCUGCUUGUCAUCCUCUUCCACAGCACCCUCUGCUUUUCCUUCAGAGCACCCAGCACAAAUUGCAACCAGAAUGAGUUGUGAUCACCUGCACCAGUAGUGUCACCUCCAUGAGUUGCCCGACUGCAGGGGCUCGGGGUCUUGUCCGUUCUUUCUGCACUACUGUCUACACAACACAUGAGCACACGGAGGCCCUCCGGAGCUUCCUGGAGGAAGGCCCAGGGAUGCCUUGGACAAACCGCAUACCUCGAGAAACGUUGUGUCUUGCCAGUCCUAUUUCUGAGCCCUCAAUGACGGGAUUCUGUUCUUGAAAUAAUAAAAAAAAAAAUGAUGAUAACGUACUGAGUUGUGCGAUAGGAUGCAUGUUAUCCACUCACAAGCCCUUACAGAAUCUGCCAGACUAAGGAGUGGGCGAGAUGGUCACCCGCAGGGAGAGAUUGGCAUGGAUGGAAAAGAAACUAAAGUGAAACUCUGUGGACUUGUCACACUGGGCAUCACAUGGUGUGUCUGAGCCAACGCUGGCCCGACAUCUGCAUCCGGCAGCCACUGGGUUCUCCACCUCCGAGCAAAGGCUGGUGAGCGCCUGCCAGAAGGAUGCUGAGGGAUCGAGCUGAGCGUUCUGUCUGCCUUUCACAGUAGAAAUCCACAAUGAGGCUGAGAAUGUUUAAAACAACUAAAAUAAGCAUGUAGGAAAGAACUAUACGUUUCAAUAAAAAGUGAUUUAGAGACAUUCUGUACCAGAAAUUCCUGUCCAAAAGAAACAGGAUACACGGAAAAGUGGAGCCCUACUGUUUACUUGGAGGAUGUUUAUUUGCUGUUGGUGACCUCUGCAGCCACAUGACAAGAAUUUAGGUUGUAAACCUGGGCACUUAAGCUGCAGUGCUGGGUGACCGAUUUUAAUUUGACCUUUAAAUCCCAAGAGCAAGAUCAGGUUGGCGUGUGGAAUGCAGCUGUGCGUGGGGAGUCCAAUCACUGUGGCCAUUUUAACCAUCAAGAUGAAUCGCUGCCCGAUGAUGCCUUCUGAAGUGAUCAAUAUCAAUUUUCAAGGCAGCUGAAACAUCCCCAUCAGCCAUACGGUGGCCGGGCUCAGUGUGCCACGUGGAUCCAGCUUCUCAGCUAAGGUGAAAUGGAGGAACACACAACUGCUCGGGGCAUCGCGGCCACGGAGGCGGGAAUCUGGGUCACAAGGAUCUUGCUCCGUAUGGUAUGUUGAUGGAAGAAAAAGAAAGAAAUUAUUUCUGAGUAAGAUGGGGGAGUGGAAGUUGAACCUUUUGGCUAAAAUUAGGCGAGAAGCUUAUCAGCGGCUCAGCAUAAGAGCAAGAAGCUUAAGUGACUGGCUUUGCUUCUGCACCAGGUCAAGGAGCCCCUCUUUUUGGUUUCUCUAGCACAAAGGUUUGUCAAAUAAAUGUAUUUCUCUGCAUUUAAGCAGUUAUUAUUUCCCCUAACAUAGCAGACAAACAUUAACCCCAGAGCUGGCGCGAAAUAAGAAGGUUAUGAUGGAAUAGCACUUUGCGAGGGGAGCACUUGCACCUACGGCACAGCGGAUGGAAGCAUCUAUCUUCCAGGACGGCAACUUCAGCCACCUGCAGGGCAGCUCCGCCCGCCUCCCUUGUGCUGGGGCACCGAAGGAGGGCGCUGCGCGGCACUCUGCACUGCGCUUCCGGGGGCACGGCCGCUGUGAG
Molecule: long non-coding RNA, 5428 nt
Filed under: Equus caballus (horse)
Lineage: Eukaryota; Metazoa; Chordata; Mammalia; Perissodactyla; Equidae
Description: lncRNA (ENSECAG00000044030.1)
Source: RNAcentral